GCGCGAAAACUGUGCAAUGCGCGAAAGCGCGACACGGGAAGCCUGAGUGCCUUAACACAGUUAAGGCUUUUCUCAAGCCUAAAAAGCUUGAGGAAUAAGAGCUGGGUAAGACGGGUGCCAGCCGCCGCGGUAACACCCGCAGCUCGAGUGGUGGUCACUUUUAUUGAGCCUAAAGCGUUUGUAGCCGGUUUUGCAAAUCUUCAGAUAAAUUCCUCUGCUUAACAGAUGAUCUUCUGAAGAGACUGCGAGACUUGGGACCGGGUGAGGUUGAAGGUACUUCCGGGGUAGGGGUAAAAUCCUGUAAUCCUGGAAGGACGACCGGUGGCGAAGGCGUUCAACUAGAACGGAUCCGACGGUGAGGAACGAGGGCUAGGGUAGCAAACCGG
RNAcentral lists this ribosomal RNA (386 nucleotides) under uncultured Acidimicrobiia bacterium. RNAcentral's name for it is "bacterial SSU rRNA". It matches the Rfam family "Archaeal small subunit ribosomal RNA", at positions 339 to 727 of the family's 1478-position model. Lineage: Bacteria; Bacillati; Actinomycetota; Acidimicrobiia. The record is from RNAcentral.